This 90-nucleotide transfer RNA is filed under the name Rickettsiales bacterium. RNAcentral describes it as "tRNA-Ser". It matches the Rfam family "tRNA". Rfam says of the family: Transfer RNA (tRNA) molecules are approximately 80 nucleotides in length. Their secondary structure includes four short double-helical elements and three loops (D, anti-codon, and T loops). Lineage: Bacteria; Pseudomonadati; Pseudomonadota; Alphaproteobacteria; Rickettsiales. The record is from RNAcentral.
GGAUGGGUGGCAGAGCGGUUUAAUGCAACGGUCUUGAAAACCGUCGUGGGGGCAACCCCACCGGGGGUUCAAAUCCCUCCCCAUCCGCCA